AGGAGCAUUGAUGUAUGUACGAAGCCUAUGUUAGCUGAUGUAACAUUUGUAUACUUAUAUCGAAUCUCUCUCUCACUGUUAAAAUCAUAUAUCGUGAUCAGAAGAGGUAAAUAUACUUUUCUUUUUUUGUCUUUUAUUUAUGUAUUGCCAACAAAGAUAAUGGAUACGUGUUUCAAACUGUCAAAUCGCGAUGUGAAAUCAGUCUGCAUCAUGGCGUAUCUAUAAUAACUAUACCGAGUGAUUCGAAAUUGAACGAAAAUAGUCGAUGGAAAAAAGUGAAUGUAAAAAAUGGUGAACAGAGAAAGAAAUUAAAUAAAAGAAAUAAAAUAUAAAAAAUACAGAAAAAAUACAGAGACAGAAGAGAGAGAGACUGAAUCUCAUUCAAAAAUGUAAAGAAUAGCACAGGAUAGAAAAAAAGUGAUUAGUGCCAAUCAAUGCUACUUUGAAUAUUAUUUUUAUGGCAUACUGUGUUAAUCCAAUCACACGGAUGCGUUAAUUGAUAUAAUAAAUGUGACAGUGACCAUCAUUAAUAGCUGUGGAAUAUCACGACACAUUUCACCUUUCUAUCCGUUUUCAUUUCUAUAUAUACCUACACUUAACCUAUAGAUUUAUGGAUAUUUGCUUCACUAUAACUGCAGAUUUUCCUAUUAGUUUCUUUCUAGUUUUAUUUCUAAUUUCUCUUUCUCUUUGCAGUUAUAUGCAGUAUCCUUUCUUCUAUUCUUAUAGAAUUUUAAGAGAAGAUUGAACGUUAUUACAUAAUCCUUCAUUAUAUAUCAAGAUUUAAAUUACAAAUUUAAAUUAAGUGCAAUCUUUUAUAUAAAAAAAAAAAAAGCUAUAAAAACUAACAUGAUAUAUUAUUAGGUUAUGCAUGAUUAAUAUAAGAUUAUUACAUAAUAGGUUGUCGUAGUCAUAAAUUACGUUAAAAAGAUAUCAUUGAAUUGAAGUCAUCACAAAUUUUCUGCAUCAUAUUAACGAAAAUUAUAUAUAAUACGUAAUACGUAAUGAAUAUAUUUCUUUCAAAAAAGAAUCGUCUUUCAUUAACAAAAUAUGAUCGAAAACAAUCUAUGACGUCAGAGAAUAUAUGAAAGUAAAAGAUUUCAGAUUUUACGGCAGCUGAACGUGACUAGAAAGAGCGUUACGGCCAAUUUAAUAGCAUUCAUGCGAGAAUUGACACUUGACACGUGGUGCCGUUUGACCGAAGGUCGAUCGUUAUUCAGGAUUAAGCAUGCGCGUGAAAACAGCGCCAAAAUCACUGGACUUGGCUAACCGACCGUUGUUUUCAUAUUCUUUAAAACAUUGUUUAUAAUAACUUUGCCUUUUUUCAUUAUUUUACAACCUUCGAGAAUAUUUAUCUGAAAUUCUGCAAUAAUGCAUGACGAUAGUAUAAAAGAGAAACAAAAUUAAAAAACUAGUAAAGGAAUUUUGAGGAUAAUCACUUGCAGCCAAUCGGUCAUCGACCUUUGCCUUGCAACGUAUAUGUAAAUAUAAUAUACGUUUUGCACGCUAGAUGUCGCUCAUUAUGCGUUUUAAAUGGUAAUCUCAAGAAAUUAUAAAUUAUACUAUGGAUUAAAAUGAAAACAAUAAAUACUAUGUGAAGCUUGCAUUCAACGUACUAAAGCAAGAAAGAUUUCUUGCUCGUUCCGCCUAUCUUUAUCUUUAUUACUUAUUCAUUAUCACUAUAUUUUAUUUAGUUUCUUAAACUUAUUUCCUCUUUUUACUACGCAUCGAACUAAUGUGAUAUUUUCUGCCAAUAGGGAAAAUAUGUGUGACAAGGUCAUUUUAAGUAAGAGUAAGACAGCGUUCCAGCCAAUUAGACCGACAUUCCUUUCCAGUGCAAAAACUCUUGAGCUUCAAUACAUUUUUGUGAUGUUUCCCUACAUCUUCUUGAUUUCUAGAAAAUUAGAACUAGAAUCAUACUAUUAUUAAUCUGCUAUGUUAAUCAUGAUCACAUUUUAAUAUUCCGAUUUUUUUCUAUGAACGACGUUCAUAGAUUCAACAAAUAAACGAAUAUCAAUAUUUAAGAUAUUGUUGUUCACUCUUUGGAUCAAUAAGAAUCAAUAUGACAGGCCCAAUCGACGGGUCCACAGGUUAUAGUUUCUUUUCACAAGAUGUAAAAGGAGACGAUCUUGUAUUAGUAACUGUAAGCAACUUCACCUUCCAUCAGCAGGGGGCAACAAGCCUGUCAGACAACGAUGCGGACACAACAAUAAUAACACAAGACGGAGAACACGCGAGAAAUGGACAUAGAAAAUUUCUAUAUAUAUAUAGUAUGUUAGUAAUAUUCUUGACUAGAAGAAAAUACAGUGAGUUGAAAAAA
This is a long non-coding RNA of Apis florea (little honeybee), 2317 nucleotides long. Lineage: Eukaryota; Metazoa; Arthropoda; Insecta; Hymenoptera; Apidae. The record is from RefSeq and is a predicted model, not a curated record.